Ribosomal RNA from Fibrobacter sp., 90 nucleotides. Lineage: Bacteria; Pseudomonadati; Fibrobacterota; Fibrobacteria; Fibrobacterales; Fibrobacteraceae. The record is from Rfam.
CACCCGUUCCCAUUCCGAACACGGCAGUUAAGCCCUGCAUCGCCGAUGGUACCUGGCCUACGGGUCCGGGAGAGUAGGUCGCCGCUGGAU